Molecule: RNA transcript, 1002 nt
Organism: Eriocheir sinensis (Chinese mitten crab)
Lineage: Eukaryota; Metazoa; Arthropoda; Malacostraca; Decapoda; Varunidae
Gene name: neogenin-like
Exons: 6
Source: RefSeq, a predicted model, not a curated record
CCCUUGUUAUCCCUGCUAUCCACGUGCCCCCCCUUGUUAUCCUCGUGCUCCCGGCCUUGUAGCGGUGCCGUGGCGGGGCGUGUAGGCGUUGACAUGUAAGCCCCGGUCGUCUACCCUCCGUGCCCUAUGGGGGUCCGUGGACGGGGCAGCACUCACGGUCAACGGCACUGCCCAUACACUUAGUCCACCCUGGCGGGGACCUCACCAAUGACCUCCCAGACAAGCCAGUUGGUCUGAAGGCCAUGGCACUGAAUGACCACAUCAGGGUGUGCUGGCAGCCCCCCGCACAGCACAAUGUGAUGCUGUGCGGCUACACCAUUGCCUGGGACCAAGGCGUGGCGGACAUCUACUCCAAGAUCGUGGACAGCAAGCAGCACGGUUACAUCAUUGAUAAGCUGGAACCCAACAUGGAGUUUGUGAUAAGCCUGCGAGCCUUCAACAACGUGGGUGACGGGCAACCGGUGUACCAGCAAGUCCGCACCCAGCCAGAGGAGGAGGAGGUGGUGGCACCCACGCUGGACCCGGCGGUGUGGGUGAAGGCCGUGGUGCUGACGCCCUUCACCGUGGUGCUGCAGUGGGCGGACACCAUGCUGAGCCAGAACCAGUACAACAGCUGCACCACCUUCUCGUCCUCAUCCUCCAGCCGCUACGUCAACGCCACGGAUGUGACCUGCCUCAUUGACAGCCUCAAGCCAUCAACAGUGUGUGAGUUUGCCGUGAAGACCAUCAGGGUGAGACCACAGUGCUGGAAGCCUUCGUUCUUCUUUCAGUAAAUAUUCACUCAGUCCUGCACCUGCAACACUUCUCAAGGAAAUCCUGCACAGCUGAAUCCUUGCUGUGAUGAGGCACAGAGAAAUUAUGACUCAUAGGGUUUGGUGUGAGUCCCCCUAUAGCCUGGUGGCCUCCAACACCCUGCUGGUGGCCCGGCCGUCCUGGCCCUCCCUGGCGAGCCAUCCACCAGCACCUUCACCCGGCAGCCGUCCACCACCACCUUCACCCGGC